AGUGAACGCUGGCGGCAGGCCUAGCACAUGCAAGUCGAACGGCAGCACAGAGGAGCUUGCUCCUUGGGUGGCGAGUGGCGGACGGGUGAGGAAUACAUCGGAAUCUGCCCAGUCGUGGGGGAUAACAUAGGGAAAUUUAUGCUAAUACCGCAUACGACCUACGGGUGAAAGCGGGGGAUCGCAAGACCUCGCGCGAUUGGAUGAGCCGAUGUCCGAUUAGCUAGUUGGCGGGGUAAUGGCCCACCAAGGCGACGAUCGGUAGCUGGUCUGAGAGGAUGAUCAGCCACACUGGAACUGAGACACGGUCCAGACUCCUACGGGAGGCAGCAGUGGGGAAUAUUGGACAAUGGGCGCAAGCCUGAUCCAGCCAUGCCGCGUGGGUGAAGAAGGCCUCGGUU
RNAcentral lists this ribosomal RNA (398 nucleotides) under uncultured bacterium. RNAcentral's name for it is "bacterial SSU rRNA". It matches the Rfam family "Bacterial small subunit ribosomal RNA", at positions 29 to 424 of the family's 1533-position model. The record is from RNAcentral.